AGAACGAACGCUGGCGGCAUGCCUAACACAUGCAAGUCGAACGAGACCUUCGGGUCUAGUGGCGCACGGGUGCGUAACGCGUGGGAAUCUGCCCUUGGGUUCGGGAUAACAGUUGGAAACGACUGCUAAUACCGGAUGAUGUCUUCGGACCAAAGAUUUAUCGCCCAAGGAUGAGCCCGCGUAGGAUUAGCUUGUUGGUGAGGUAAGAGCUCACCAAGGCGACGAUCCUUAGCUGGUCUGAGAGGAUGAUCAGCCACACUGGGACUGAGACACGGCCCAGACUCCGUACGGGAGGCAGCAGUGGGGAAUAGUUGGACAAGUGGGACGAAAAGCCUAGGAUACCAAACAAUCGCCGCGGUGAGUGAGUGAAGGUCCGUUAAGGGUUAGUAAAGUCGUUACGUUUUACCCGGGAUAGUAUAAUGACGAGGUAACCGGAGAAGUAACGACCCGGUACUAACUCCGUGCCGAGACGACGCCGGACGGU
This 484-nucleotide ribosomal RNA is filed under the name uncultured soil bacterium. RNAcentral's name for it is "bacterial SSU rRNA". It matches the Rfam family "Bacterial small subunit ribosomal RNA", at positions 26 to 533 of the family's 1533-position model. The record is from RNAcentral.